UGUCCUCAUACCCAGCCCACUUUUUAUUUUCCUCCAUUUUUCUCUGCCGAGGAGAAAUCACAGACCAGUGAUGGGGAGCAAAGAGCUGUUGCCCAAGCUACAAGACUCUGGAGGCAUGGUGAGAUAGCAGUUUGUCUGAAAAAGACCUGGGGUUUAUAGAGCACGCAAGCUCGCUAUGAGUCAGCAGUAUCACGUGAUAGCCGAUAAAACCACUGAGAUCUGGAGACGCCUGAAGAGAGAUUUAGCUUUCGGGAAUAAGGAGCUGCACUCCUGGGAUUGUACUCUCCCAACCCCUCAGCAAACUUGUCAUCCUUCAAGACUGCGUGAGCUUGGUACUUACACCUCAGCACAGUAGCCUCAGUACCCUCUGCCCCUCUGAUUGGAGGGCUGGAAGGCAGAGCUAACGACUCCUACCAAAGGCUCCAUUUAAAGGCACUCCAAGAGCAGUCUCUUUUCAGGGACCUUGAUUCAUACACAGGAAGGAGAGCCUCACCUGCUCAACCUGGAAAAAGGU
Molecule: non-coding RNA, 514 nt
Organism: Phascolarctos cinereus (koala)
Lineage: Eukaryota; Metazoa; Chordata; Mammalia; Diprotodontia; Phascolarctidae
Source: RefSeq, a predicted model, not a curated record